This is a long non-coding RNA of Mauremys reevesii (Reeves's turtle), 1098 nucleotides long. RefSeq lists it as uncharacterized. The record is from RefSeq and is a predicted model, not a curated record. Lineage: Eukaryota; Metazoa; Chordata; Testudines; Geoemydidae. The transcript has 3 exons.
UGUUUAGGAGGGAUUAAGGAAAUGUUUACUUCUUCAUUAAUUGCGUAGCCAUGUCAUUGACUUCCUCCACACCCUCAGCUCAAGGAAGUGUGUUACUAAGGCAGCAGCAGGCUCAGGAAAAGAUUUGGCUUUAAAAAGGAACCGUAUUCACUGCUAUAUGCAGAUUAAUCAUCCCAUCCCUAGGUCAUAAUUCCACACAUUGUAUGCUUUAGUUCAGUGAAUGAAGUAGUCUACCAGUCAGACAAGGAACUGUUUACAUGUGAGUCUUUAUAAGAAUAUGUUUGCCUACAUGUCCCACAGUACUGAAAAUGGCUUCUGUCCCAUCUCUGAAUCUUCAUAGGAUCACUUAUAUCCAAACAUAUUUUAAACUGCACAAAUCUAGGUCAGUCAGUCCAAAAUAUUUAUUGGCUUCCUAUUAAAUAUUGGACUUGAACAUAUAUUGUAAUUUAGCAAUCCCAUUCAGCAGAGGGAAUCUACUUUAUAAAGAAUUACUGUUCCAUUUGAGUCUCAUUGUAGCCUUACUUAGAUUAAUAAUUUGACACAGUCUGUUUGGUAUGACUAGAGAUGGCUUUAUCAAGAGUUCUUUACAAAAUGCUGUCUGUCUCUGUGGCUGGGAACGAUAUACUAUAGCAUCACUUACUUGAAAUGGAAAGGAAAGUUUAAAAAUAAAACUCAGUUUAGGGAUCAAAAUGAAUGGAGAGGAGUAAUUACUAUAGAAAUUACAGUAUUGUAUUUUUUGAUAUCGUCAUCCCAUUUAUAACCAGUCCUCCUCAGGUACAUACAAGAAUUUUUUGUGCCUCUCCCAGUACUUCAAAGGAGAUGUCAUAGGAAUCCGCAAUCAUGGUUUAUGGAUGUUAUUCCUCCUUUAACAAUCUACUUCACAGCAAUGAAUAACUAGCAAAGCUGAUUCCUCCAGACAUAUCACGUCCUCAUUUGCUACGACGCGGUGUGCACAUUUAAUUUGUAGUUGGGCCGUGUUGGUCCAAGGAUAUUAGAGACUAACGUCUGUUGGUGAGAGAGAGAGAAGUUUUCAAGCCACAAUGGAAGAAAGAUAUUACUUCACCUACCUUGUCUCUCUAAUUUUUAACUUGUCAAGCU